CCGAUCUGUGAGCGGGCGUGGACUGCAUAGAAGUGAGAAUGUCGGCUUGAGUAGCGAAAACAUGGGUGAGAAUCCCAUGCACCGAAACCCUAAGGGUUCCUCCGGCAGGCUCGUCCGCGGAGGGUUAGUCUGGACCUAAGGCGAGGCCGAAAGGCGUAGUCGAUGGAUAACAGGUCAACAUUCCUGUACCGGUUAUGUUUUGGGAAGAGGGACGGAGAAGGCUAGCCAAGCCAGAUGUUGGUUACUGGUUCAAGCGUUCGAGGCGUUGAGGAUCGGCGAAAACGAUCCGAGCUGAGGCGUGAGUACGAGCUGCUACGGCAGCGAAGUUGGUGAUGUCAUGCUUCCAAGAAAAGCUCUAUACCCGUUAAGGCAUAACUGCCAGUACCCGAAACCGACACAGGUGGGGUGGUAGAGAAUACCGAGGUGCGCGAGGUAACUCUCUCUAAGGAACUCGGCAAAAUGGCCCCGUAACUUCGGGAGAAGGGGUGGCUAGCCUCGGUCUUAUCUUUGAUUUGAUUGAGGAGCUCGCAGUGACCAGGCCCAGGCGACUGUUUAUCAAAAACACAGGUCUCCGCAAAGUUGCAAAACGACGUAUGGGGGCUGACGCCUGCCCAGUGCCGGAAGGUAAAGGAAGUUGGUUAUUUGACUCUUGAGUUCAAAGAAGCUGACCACCGAAGCCCCGGUAAACGGCGGCUGUAACUCUGACAGUCCUAAGGUAGCGAAAUUCCUUGCCAAGUAAGUUUUGGCCCGCACGAAAGGCGUAACGAUCUGGGCGCUGUCUCGGAGAGAGACUCGGUGAAAUAGAAAUGUCUGUGAAGAUGCGGACUACCUAUACCAGGACAGAAAGACCCUAUGAAGCUUGAAGGUAGCUUGGAAUUGGGUUCGGGCUCUUUUUGCGCAGUCUAGGUGGGAGGCGUUGAUGGUAGGGUUUCGGCCCUAUCGGAGCCAUCAGUGAGAGACCACUCUGAAAGAGCUAGAAUCCUAAUAGUAAUCCUUGAAGCAGGAUACUUGACAGUUUCAGGCGGACCUUUUUACUGGGGCGGUAGCCUCCUAAAAGGUAACGGAGGUGUGCAAAGGUUCCCUCAGGCUGGACGGAAAUCAGCUGUAGAGUGUAAAGGUAGAAGGGAGCUUGACUGCAAGACCUACAAGUCGAGCAGGGGCGAAAGCCGGCCUUAGUGAUCCGACGGUACCGAGUGGAAGGGCCGUCGCUCAACGGAUAAAAAGAUCGGAAGAGCGUCGUGUAGGGAAAGAGUGUAGAUC
Molecule: ribosomal RNA, 1260 nt
Filed under: seawater metagenome
Description: bacterial LSU rRNA
Rfam family: Bacterial large subunit ribosomal RNA
Source: RNAcentral